CUCCAGAUCAGACUCAACUUCAGCUCUUUUUAUUUUACCCAGACUCAAGACCAUCACAGGAUGCGACUGAUGGUUCUUCUCUUGCUCUUUGUCACUUUGAUUCUCAGCGAUGGAUUGAGUAACAACAGCAACCAUCACACUGAAAUCAACCUUCUGUCAAAACAAUCAACACCUUGUCAGAGAUCUCUGAAUAAUGUGUGGAUCAUGGAGGAGAAUCCAGGAUUACAGCAGGACUGAAGAAAUAUGCCUGUUUUCUCACACUGGAUCCAAACACAGCAAACAAACGACUCAUUCUAUCUGAGGAGAACAGAAACGUGACAAAUGUGGACAAUAAUCAGUCGUAUCCUGAUCAUCCAGACAGAUUUGAUUAUUGGUGUCAGGUGUUGUGUAGAGAGAGUGUGUGUGGACGCUGUUACUGGGAGAUUGAGUGGAGUCGACGUGUGGAGAUAUCAGUGUCAUAUAAGAGCAUCAGCAGGAAGGGACGGGGUGUUGAGUGUGUGUUUGGAUUUAAUGAUCAGUCCUGGAGUUUGAUCUGCUCUCACUCCAGAUACUCAUUCACACACAAUAAAAGAAAGAAUGAUCUCCAUGUGAAGCCCAUCAUCAGUAGUGUAGGAGUGUCUGAUAAUAUCUAUAGAGUAGGAGUGUAUGUGGAUGUGAGUGCAGGAACUCUGUCCUUCUACAGCGUCUCUGACACAAUGAGUCUCAUCCACACAGAACAGACCACAUUCACUCAGCCGCUCUAUCAUGGGUUUUAUCUUAAUAAUGGAUCAUCAGUGAAACUGUGUUGAUGAAUCAGAAUAGACUGAUGAGAGAUUGUACCCAUAAUGCUUUGAGCUGAUGAUGAAUCAGUAACAGUGAGAUGUUAUUGAGUCUCUUCAUGACAUUAAUACUGCAGUUCAACUUCAAAUAACAGAAUAAAUGUGUCAGAAAUCACCAUAUAGACAGAAACAUCAGUGUGUGUAUUUGUGAUGUUAUUGUUGUGUCUCAUCAAUCAUUUGUUUUAGUGUCAAAAUGUAAAAAUGUCACAAUCAUGAUU
Labeo rohita (rohu) is the source of this 1036-nucleotide long non-coding RNA. RefSeq lists it as uncharacterized. The transcript is spliced from 4 exons. The record is from RefSeq and is a predicted model, not a curated record. Lineage: Eukaryota; Metazoa; Chordata; Actinopteri; Cypriniformes; Cyprinidae.